This 25-nucleotide non-coding RNA is filed under the name Cricetulus griseus (Chinese hamster). Lineage: Eukaryota; Metazoa; Chordata; Mammalia; Rodentia; Cricetidae. The record is from RNAcentral.
GUAGAAUGAUGCUGGUAUAUGUUCU